ACAUGGAAAAAAGAGUCUACAUGCCAAAGCACCACGCCUAAAAAAUAUAGCGCCCUACCCUUUCUUUAUCGCACAAAGAAUAUAUCUCACAGUGUGUUCCAAUAUUUUUGUCGCAUAAAAAAGUUUCUUAACCACUGGUGAUAUAAGAUCCCCCCUAUAAAUAAGUGAUGCCACAAAUCCGAUCAAGACCUAACUAAUUUAGGACACCAAUUCAAAUCAAAUUCAAAUUGGUUUUAAAUCCUUAACCAAGUAGGAAACUUAUGAG
Molecule: long non-coding RNA, 265 nt
Filed under: Elaeis guineensis (African oil palm)
Lineage: Eukaryota; Viridiplantae; Streptophyta; Magnoliopsida; Arecales; Arecaceae
Description: long non-coding RNA (EGUI_LNC039035)
Source: RNAcentral